GAGGCAGAAAUGGAGGUUGGGUCAGGCCUGGCUCAGACCCUAGGCUCUGUCACUGACUGGCUGUGUGGGUCCAGGAAAGUCCUUGUCCUCUCUGGGCCUCAGUUUCCUCUGAAGAAUGGGAGUGAUAAGCUAUGCCCCAUCUCCUUCACCAAAAGGAAGCAAGACCUGAUGGAGCUGCUGGGUAACUGGAGAUGCCUCCUGCUGGCUCCUUUCUGGGGUCCCUGCCUAGCCCUGUCCUCUCCUCUUACUUUCUGCCCUGGCUGAGUAGGCUGUGGCCAUGUGGUUACUGCCUUCUCUGGGCAUAGCUGAUUGCUUCAUAUGGCCUGACCUAAGGCUGCAUGUCCAAAGUCUGGUUGGUGGCCAGUCUAACUCACUUUUGAGAACCUGCACUAAAAGAGGUAGGGGGUGGGAAAAACUGGGCAGGCCAGCGGAGGUGGGGAGUGGCAGCUCUGAGACCUGAAGCCUCAGAACCAGCUCUCCUCCUCCUCUUCCUCCUCAAGAUGGACCUCAACUCACUGAACUCUGGUUCACUCUUUUGGUCCCAGAGCUAAUUCUUUGGUUGUUUAAGGUUUAGCAUAGGAGACCCCAAAGCAGCAAGGUUCUGGCCCUGGUUCUGCCACUUGCCAGCUCCACGCCCUCAGAUCAGUGGCUUCAGAGCCUCAACGUGCUCAGCUGUGAAACAGGGACAGGGUGAGGCCUUCCCAGGUAUGAUCCACUGUGCCCAUCCUGGAUGCAGACUUUAAGCAGAGUCACAUCAACAAGAAGAGCUGUGAAGGUCAGGGCAUGACCCACAGAUGCCCAAACACUGCACUGGAGGUCCAGGAAGAUUCUGCUGACAACGCAACCCUGAGCCAAGAUCUGAAGGAUAAGAGGGAGCUUAUAACAUGGAAGAAGGAACAGUAUUCCUGGCAAGUGGAACAGCAUGUGCAAAGGUCAGGUGGUAAGAGGGGCUUCAAGGACAGUCCUAUGGCUGGAGCAGAGUGAUUGAGGGCAUGUGAAAUGAGAGGUGGCCAGGGUGGCAGGCAGGGACUAGCCCAAUGGCCGUGAAAGGGAUGGGACUUUGGUCACUGUUUCGCAUUUCCAGAUGUUUACUAUGUGCCAGGCUUGGUACUAAAUGCUUUUCUGGAAUAUCUCACUAGAUUCUCACAUAGAUGAAGGGCUUGAUCUUAGAGAGGUUAGAUCCCUCAGCCGAGAGCCCACAGUGAGGAAGCCAUGGGGCCUGUGUCCCUGACUGCAAGACCUGUGCUCAGAACGGCCAGGCCACACAGACCUCAACUCUCACUACAACCUCCUGAAGUCGGUGUGGUUACUCUUCCCACUUUACAGAUGAGGACAUGGGCCCAGAGAGGUUAUGUGAGUGACACAGCUUGAAGGUGGAGUUAAGCCUGGGCAGUCUGGCUUCAGAGUGUCCACAGUCUCAACCACUGCCUCACAUGGCUUCUUAGAAAAUAUUAUAAAAAGAAGCUCGGGCUGCCAUGUGGAAAAGAAUGGAGAGGGGACAAUGACACAGCUGGGAGCAUGCUGUGAUGGUGUACAGCGGACACAUUCAGGAUGAGGUGAAACAGGCUGGCCCUGGUGAGAGGCUAGAUGGGGCUGGGAUGAGGGUGGAGACAAGUAGUCUUGGGGUUGGCUUGGUGCAGCUGGGGGGUGCGGGGAGUGUCUCUGAGGUGAGGCCGGGGGUAUGGGAACGCCAUGUUUGGUCUGGGACACGGUGGGCUUGGGAUGGCUACAGGACAGUGCAGUGGAGAGUCAAAAAGGCUGCUCGGACCCAGGUCUGGCGAGAUGGAAGCUGGAGGUCAGGUGAGCUGUCUAGGAGAGGGACAGAGUGGGAAGGAGAGGGUCUCGACUCGGCUUUCUUGCCAAAGGAGGGUUCCGAAAUGAGAAACUGUGGAAUCUAAGCUGGAGAGGAAGAAAGACGGAGAAUGAGUGAACGCACACGUGUGGGACAGAUAGAUGAAUAUUCAUGUCUUUGGCUCCUAUGUACCUGAGUCUUCUAAAGCUGCAGGCCAUACUACCCCCGGGAGGCUGCAGGGAUGCCAGCUGGGAGAUGAAUGCAACUCUGCUGCCUGGGCAUGGGCCUGAGUGAGGGUGCAGACCCCUGCCUGUGAUCAUCAGGGAGGGUGAUGAGAACAAGGUGGCUGACAGGGUGAGGCCCAAGCCUGGAGCUUACCCAGGUGCGGGGAUGGGAGGGUCAGAGACCUUUGGGGGGUCUUAGGGAGCUUCCCCAGCCCUAAAGGCACCGCAAGCUGCCACUUCACACUGACCUGGGCAUACGCAGCUGCAGGAUCCCUUGCUCGCUCUCUCACAAGCAAAUGUAGACUGCGCAACCAUCCUGACCACAGAUCCAGAAAGCCCAGGACAUAACAGAGCCGCAGUGCCUGCCCUGAUCCACGCGCACACAGAUCUAGCCCAGGAACAAGCCCAUCCACGGAGUGAGCAGCUGACAGGGGAGCCACGAACAGCCUGGAGAGCUGAGCAUGGGCCUGCUCCACACUCCAGCGGGGCCCGAGGCCCCCGGGAACUCUACCCCUCCUGGCAGCCUCACAGAACCUGCUGCAUCCAUCUCAAAAGGCAUACCUCCUCCAGGAAGCCUUCCCCGCUGCUCAGAGGUCUUAAAUCCGGGGUCUGCACUCACAAACUGUGCAGCCUACACCAGCUUCUGGGGGACAGCAGAACACUGUGGGGGGCCUGGCACAGUCCCUGGCACACGGUAGGCACUCAUCGAGCCCCUGCCAGCCCCUCUACUCCUGACUUCUGAGGCAACAGGAAAUGACCCGCCACCUUGUUCUCACAGAGCCUCCCUGCCAGCCCAGAUGGUCACAAGGGCCUCCUGGGAUGCUGCCCACCUUGGCAGCCAGGCCCCUCCGGAGGGGCCAGUCUGGGCCUGACACCCCCGAACACCAACCCCCUGGGCAGAGCCUGCCUGUGCCUGGGUGAGGAACCCUGCAGUCUCCUUGCCACACAAGGCCUGGGUCUGCCUUGGGGCCCAGGCUGCACCCUC
RNAcentral lists this long non-coding RNA (3001 nucleotides) under Homo sapiens (human). RNAcentral's name for it is "HSALNT0388868". The record is from RNAcentral. Lineage: Eukaryota; Metazoa; Chordata; Mammalia; Primates; Hominidae.